UAGGGAAUCUUCGGCAAUGGACGAAAGUCUGACCGAGCAACGCCGCGUGAGUGAAGAAGGUUUUCGGAUCGUAAAACUCUGUUGUUAGAGAAGAACAAGGACGUUAGUAACUGAACGUCCCCUGACGGUAUCUAACCAGAAAGCCGCGGCUAACUACGUGCCAGCAGCCGCGGUAAUACGUAGGUGGCAAGCGUUGUCCGGAUUUAUUGGGCGUAAAGCGAGCGCAGGCGGUUUCUUAAGUCUGAUGUGAAAGCCCCCGGCUCAACCGGGGAGGGUCAUUGGAAACUGGGAGACUUGAGUGCAGAAGAGGAGAGUGGAAUUCCAUGUGUAGCGGUGAAAUGCGUAGAUAUACGGAGGAACACCAGUGGCGAAGGCGGCUCUCUGGUCUGUAACUGACGCUGAGGCUCGAAAGCGCGGGGAGCAAACAGG
This 429-nucleotide ribosomal RNA is filed under the name Gemmatimonadota bacterium. Its description in RNAcentral is "Gemmatimonadetes bacterium partial 16S ribosomal RNA". It matches the Rfam family "Bacterial small subunit ribosomal RNA", at positions 355 to 776 of the family's 1533-position model. The record is from RNAcentral. Lineage: Bacteria; Pseudomonadati; Gemmatimonadota.